Molecule: transfer RNA, 51 nt
Filed under: Avenella flexuosa
Lineage: Eukaryota; Viridiplantae; Streptophyta; Magnoliopsida; Poales; Poaceae
Also listed under: 13 other names
Description: partial tRNA-Leu
Source: RNAcentral
GAAAAUCCGUCGACUUUAUAAGUCGUGAGGGUUCAAGUCCCUCUAUCCCCA